This 497-nucleotide ribosomal RNA is filed under the name uncultured bacterium. RNAcentral's name for it is "partial 16S ribosomal RNA". It matches the Rfam family "Bacterial small subunit ribosomal RNA", at positions 28 to 507 of the family's 1533-position model. The record is from RNAcentral.
GAUGAACGCUGGCGGCGUGCCUAAUACAUGCAAGUCGAGCGAACAGACGAGGAGCUUGCUCCUCUGACGUUAGCGGCGGACGGGUGAGUAACACGUGGAUAACCUACCUAUAAGACUGGGAUAACUUCGGGAAACCGGAGCUAAUACCGGAUAAUAUAUUGAACCGCAUGGUUCAAUAGUGAAAGACGGUUUUGCUGUCACUUAUCGAUGGAUCCGCGCCGCAUUAGCUAGUUGGUAAGGUAACGGCUUACCAAGGCAACGAUGCGUAGCCGACCUGAGAGGGUGAGCGGCCACCCUGGAUCUGAGACACGGUCCAGAAUCCUAAGGGAGGCAGCAGUAGGGAAUCUGCCGCAAUGGGCGAAAGCCUGACGGAGCAACGCCGCGUGAGUGAUGAAGGUCUUCGGAUCGUAAAACUCUGUUAUUAGGGAAGAACAAAUGUGUAAGUAACUAUGCACGGCUUGACGGUACCUAAUCAGAAAGCCACGGAUAACUACGUG